RNAcentral lists this ribosomal RNA (598 nucleotides) under uncultured bacterium. RNAcentral describes it as "bacterial SSU rRNA". The stretch from base 1 to 536 matches the Rfam family "Bacterial small subunit ribosomal RNA", at positions 338 to 873 of the family's 1533-position model. The record is from RNAcentral.
CCUACGGGAGGCAGCAGUAAGGAAUAUUGGACAAUGGGGGCAACCCUGAUCCAGCCAUGCCGCGUGCAGGAAGACGGCCCUAUGGGUUGUAAACUGCUUUUGUUUGGGAAUAAACCCCGUCUACGUGUAGAGGGUUGAAUGUACCAAAAGAAUAAGGAUCGGCUAACUCCGUGCCAGCAGCCGCGGUAAUACGGAGGAUCCAAGCGUUAUCCGGAUUUAUUGGGUUUAAAGGGUGCGUAGGCGGUCUUAUAAGUCAGUGGUGAAAUCUCGUCGCUUAACGACGAAACUGCCAUUGAUACUGUAAGACUUGAGUACAGAUGAGGUGGGCGGAAUGUGACAAGUAGCGGUGAAAUGCUCAGAUAUGUCACAGAACACCGAUUGCGAAGGCAGCUCACUAAGGUGUAACUGACGCUGAGGCACGAAAGCGUGGGGAUCAAACAGGAUUAGAUACCCUGGUAGUCCACGCCCUAAACGAUGAUAACUCGCUGUCGGCGAUACACAGCCGGUGGCAAAGCGAAAGCGUUAAGUUAUCCNCNGAGACGACGCAGUAGANANAAGAGUAGNGNGNGAGAGNGCGAGACGACGACGAGGGAGGAGG